RNAcentral lists this ribosomal RNA (513 nucleotides) under uncultured bacterium. RNAcentral's name for it is "partial 16S ribosomal RNA". It matches the Rfam family "Bacterial small subunit ribosomal RNA", at positions 355 to 861 of the family's 1533-position model. The record is from RNAcentral.
UGGGGAAUUUUGGACAAUGGGCGAAGCUGAUCCAGCAAUGCCGCGUGUGUGAAGAAGGCCUUCGGGUUGUAAAGCACUUUUGUCCGGAAAGAAAUCCUUGGCUCUAAUACAGUCGGGGGGAUGACGGUACCGGAAGAAUAAGCACCGGCUAACUACGUGCCAGCAGCCGCGGUAAUACGUAGGGUGCAAGCGUUAAUCGGAAUUACUGGGCGUAAAGCGUGCGCAGGCGGUUUGCUAAGACCGAUGUGAAAUCCCCGGGCUCAACCUGGGAACUGCAUUGGUGACUGGGCAGGCUAGAGUAUGGCAGAGGGGGGUAGAAUUCCACGUGUAGCAGUGAAAUGCGUAGAGAUGUGGAGGAAUACCGAUGGCGAAGGCAGCCCCCUGGGCCAAUACUGACGCUCAUGCACGAAAGCGUGGGGAGCAAACAGGAUUAGAUACCCUGGUAGUCCACGCCCUAAACGAUGUCAACUAGUUGUUGGGGAUUCAUUUCCUUAGUAACGUAGCUAACGCGUG